GGAUUAGAUACCCUGGUAGUCCAUGCCGUAAACGGUGGGCGCUAGGUGUGAGGGUCUUUUCACGACUUUCGUGCCGUAGCUAACGCAUUAAGCGCCCCGCCUGGGGAGUACGGCCGCAAGGCUAAAACUCAAAGGAAUUGACGGGGGCCCGCACAAGCGGCGGAGCAUGUGGAUUAAUUCGAUGCAACGCGAAGAACCUUACCUGGGCUUGACAUACACCGGACCGCUGCAGAGAUGUAGUUUCCCUUUGUGGCUGGUGUACAGGUGGUGCAUGGUUGUCGUCAGCUCGUGCCG
RNAcentral lists this ribosomal RNA (294 nucleotides) under uncultured bacterium. Its description in RNAcentral is "partial 16S ribosomal RNA". It matches the Rfam family "Bacterial small subunit ribosomal RNA", at positions 775 to 1067 of the family's 1533-position model. The record is from RNAcentral.